ACGCUGGCGGCGUGCCUAAUACAUGCAAGUAGAACGCUGAAGAGAGGAGCCUGCUCUUCUUGGAUGAGUUGCGAACGGGUGAGUAACGCGUAGGUAACCUGCCUGGUAGCGGGGGAUAACUAUUGGAAACGAUAGCUAAUACCGCAUGAUAUUAAUUGUCGCAUGAUAAUUAAUUGAAAGAUGCAAUUGCAUCACUACCAGAUGGACCUGCGUUGUAUUAGCUAGUUGGUGAGGUAACGGCUCACCAAGGCGACGAUACAUAGCCGACCUGAGAGGGUGAUCGGCCACACUGGGACUGAGACACGGCCCAGACUCCUACGGGAGGCAGCAGUAGGGAAUCUUCGGCAAUGGGGGGAACCCUGACCGAGCAACGCCGCGUGAGUGAAGAAGGUUUUCGGAUCGUAAAGCUCUGUUGUAAGAGAAGAACGGGUGUGAGAGUGGAAAGUUCACACUGUGACGGUAUCUUACCAGAAAGGGACGGCUAACUACGUGCCAGCAGCCGCGGUAAUACGUAGGUCCCGAGCGUUGUCCGGAUUUAUUGGGCGUAAAGCGAGCGCAGGCGGUUAGAUAAGUCUGAAGUUAAAGGCUGUGGCUUAACCAUAGUAUGCUUUGGAAACUGUUUAACUUGAGUGCAGAAGGGGAGAGUGGAAUUCCAUGUGUAGCGGUGAAAUGCGUAGAUAUAUGGAGGAACACCGGUGGCGAAAGCGGCUCUCUGGUCUGUAACUGACGCUGAGGCUCGAAAGCGUGGGGAGCAAACAGGAUUAGAUACCCUGGUAGUCCACGCCGUAAACGAUGAGUGCUAGGUGUUAGGCCCUUUCCGGGGCUUAGUGCCGCAGCUAACGCAUUAAGCACUCCGCCUGGGGAGUACGACCGCAAGGUUGAAACUCAAAGGAAUUGACGGGGGCCCGCA
Molecule: ribosomal RNA, 910 nt
Filed under: uncultured bacterium
Lineage: Bacteria
Description: bacterial SSU rRNA
Rfam family: Bacterial small subunit ribosomal RNA
Source: RNAcentral